This 1517-nucleotide ribosomal RNA is filed under the name uncultured prokaryote. Its description in RNAcentral is "partial 16S ribosomal RNA". It matches the Rfam family "Bacterial small subunit ribosomal RNA". The record is from RNAcentral.
AGAGUUUGAUCCUGGCUCAGAUUGAACGCUGGCGGUAGGCUUAACACAUGCAAGUCGAGCGGAAACGAAGGUAGCUUGCUAUCAGGCGUCGAGCGGCGGACGGGUGAGUAACGCGUGGGAAAGUAAUACUUAGGAAUCUACCCAGUAGCGGGGGACAACUCGGGGAAACUCGAGCUAAUACCGCAUACGCCCUAUGGGGGAAAGCAGGGGAUCUUCGGACCUUGCACUAUUGGAUGAGCCUAAGUCAGAUUAGCUUGUUGGUGGGGUAAAAGCCUACCAAGGCGACGAUCUGUAGCUGGUCUGAGAGGACGAUCAGCCACACUGGAACUGAGACACGGUCCAGACUCCUACGGGAGGCAGCAGUGGGGAAUAUUGCACAAUGGGGGAAACCCUGAUGCAGCAAUGCCGCGUGUGUGAAGAAGGCCCGAGGGUUGUAAAGCACUUUCAGUAAGGAGGAAAAGUAUAUGGUUAAUAACCCUUAGGAUUGACGGUACCAAUACAAAAAGCACCGGCUAACUCCGUGCCAGCAGCCGCGGUAAUACGGAGGGUGCAAGCGUUAAUCGGAAUUACUGGGCGUAAAGCGUGCGUAGGCGGUUUGUUAAGUCAGAUGUGAAAGCCCCGGGCUUAACCUGGGAACUGCAUUUGAUACUGGCAAACUAGAAUGUGGUAGAGGGAAGUGGAAUUCCUCAUGUAGCGGUGAAAUGCGUAGAUAUGAGGAGGAACACCAGUGGCGAAGGCGACUUCCUGGACCAACAUUGACGCUGAGGUACGAAAGCGUGGGUAGCAAACAGGAUUAGAUCCCCUGGUAGUCCACGCCGUAAACGAUGUCUACUAGCCGUUGGGGGGCUUGUCCCUUUAGUGGCGCAGCUAACGCGAUAAGUAGACCGCCUGGGGAGUAUGGUCGCAAGGCUGAAACUUAAAGGAAUUGACGGGGGCCCGCACAAGCGGUGGAGCAUGUGGUUUAAUUCGAUGCAACGCGAAGAACCUUACCUACCCUUGACAUCCAUGAGAACUGUUAGAGAUAGUAUAGUGCCUUCGGGAAUUCUGUGACAGGUGCUGCAUGACUGUCGUCAGCUCGUGUCGUGAGAUGUUGGGUUAAGUCCCGUAACGAGCGCAACCCUUAUCCUUAGUUGCUAGCAGGUAAUGCUGAGAACUCUAGGGAGACUGCCGGUGAUAAACCGGAGGAAGGUGGGGACGACGUCAAGUCAUCAUGGCCCUUAUGGGUAGGGCUACACACGUGCUACAAUGGCCGGUACAGAGGGCUGCUAACUCGCGAGAGUACGCUAAUCCCUUAAAGCCGGUCCUAGUCCGGAUUGGAGUCUGCAACUCGACUCCAUGACGCUUGAAUCGCUAGUAAUCGCGGAUCAGAAUGCCGCGCUGAAUACGUUCCCGGGCCUUGUACACACCGCCCGUCACACCAUGGGAGUGGGUUGCAAAAGAAGUGGGUAGACUAACCUUCGGGAGGUCGCUCACCACUUUGUGAUUCAUGACUGGGGUGAAGUCGAAACAAGGUAGCC